RNAcentral lists this ribosomal RNA (419 nucleotides) under uncultured bacterium. Its description in RNAcentral is "bacterial SSU rRNA". It matches the Rfam family "Bacterial small subunit ribosomal RNA", at positions 917 to 1341 of the family's 1533-position model. The record is from RNAcentral.
GGGCCCGCACAAGCGGUGGAGCAUGUGGUUUAAUUCGAUGAUACGCGAGGAACCUUACCAGGGCUUAAAUGCAGAACGACAGAGGUGGAAACACCUCCUUCUUCGGACGGUCUGCAAGGUGCUGCAUGGUUGUCGUCAGCUCGUGCUGUGAAGUGUCGGGUUAAGUCCCAUAACGAGCGCAACCCCUAUUUCUAGUUGCCAGCGGUUCGGCCGGGGACUCUAGAGAAACUGCCAGCGUAAGCUGUGAGGAAGGUGGGGAUGACGUCAAAUCAUCACGGCCCUUACGUCCUGGGCUACACACGUGCUACAAUGGUAGGGACAGAGAGUUGCCAACCCGCGAGGGUGAGCCAAUCCCAAAACCCAUCUCAGUUCGGAUCGGAGUCUGCAACUCGACUCCGUGAAGUUGGAAUCGCUAGUAA